Molecule: ribosomal RNA, 248 nt
Filed under: uncultured bacterium
Lineage: Bacteria
Description: partial 16S ribosomal RNA
Rfam family: Bacterial small subunit ribosomal RNA
Source: RNAcentral
AAGAUGGCGACCGGCGCACGGGUGAGUAACACGUAUCCAACCUGCCGAUAACUCCGGAAUAGCCUUUCGAAAGAAAGAUUAAUACCGGAUGGCAUACGAAUAUCGCAUGAUAUCUUUAUUAAAGAAUUUCGGUUAUCGAUGGGGAUGCGUUCCAUUAGUUUGUUGGCGGGGUAACGGCCCACCAAGACUACGAUGGAUAGGGGUUCCGAGAGGAAGGUCCCCCACAUUGGAACUGAGACACGGUCCAA